RNAcentral lists this long non-coding RNA (2301 nucleotides) under Homo sapiens (human). RNAcentral's name for it is "non-protein coding lnc-HUS1B-1:1". Lineage: Eukaryota; Metazoa; Chordata; Mammalia; Primates; Hominidae. The record is from RNAcentral.
GGUGGAAGCAAACCUCAGUGGCAGGAUGACCCUGAGUAUAGAGACGGAGGUGGUGUCCAUUCAAAGUUAUUUUAAAAAUCUUGGAAACCCUCCCCAGUCGGCUGUGGGUGUGCCUGAAAACAGAGACCUGGAGAGCAUGGUGCAAGUGCGGGUGGACAAUCGGAAGCUUCUGCAGUUUUUGGAGGGACAGCAAAUACAUCCUACGACGGCCCUGUGCAAUAUUUGGGACAAUACUCUUCUUCAGCUUGUUUUGGUUCAAGAAGAUGUCUCUCUUCAGUAUUUCAUUCCUGCCUUGUAAAAAUUCAGCCAGCUUAGAUUUUUUUUUUAAGGUUUUGAUCUUUUCAAAACUAAAACAGACCCUGAGUUAAUUGGGUUGAAAAUUUGGACCUUCACUGACUUAUGCAGGGCGUAUAUUUUGUUGAGCCCUUCCUCCUUUGCAAAAUUUAUAUUAAAGCAUUGGUAAAACAGUUGGGUAGUUCAUGUUUUGUUUAUUGGGUUUGUCAGGUUUUUUUCCUGCUUAAGAUUCUAUCAAAGUUAUUCUUCAACUCUUUUUUUCGGGGGGGAAAAACAGGGUUGUAAUGAAAUAAGUAUUUUUGAAUCCUGAAACAAUUGCAUCAGUAUUUUAUUAUAAAAUGCUGCUGUGUAAAGCGGGAAAGUUCUCCUUUUAAAAUAUGUAUGAAUGUUUUCCGAGGGCAUUUCUUAUGUAGAGAGCUAAAUAUAUCUGCAAGAUAAAAGGUAUUUAGCAUGUGUGUGCAUUACAUAUUCUUUGUUAAGCCGUGUUCUGUAUAGGAUAUGUCAAAGAAUAUAUCAGUGUACAUGGUUUUUAGAUUUAUUAUCUACAUAGUUUGAAUUGCUUAUUAGGUUCAUUUUUCACAUGUAUCAUAUUCACAUUAGAAAUCAAGGAAAUAUAGGCAUGUCUCAGAGAUACUCCAAGUUUGGUUCCAGACCACUGCAAAAAGCAAAUAUUGCAAUAAAGACAGAUGAGUUUUUUGGAUUUUCAGUACAUAUAAAAGUUAUGUUUGCAUUAUACUGUAGUCUGUUGAGAGUACAAUAGUACUAUGUCUAAAAAAUGUACACAUCUUAAUUUUAAAAUACUUCAUUGGUAAAAAAUGCUGCUGCUCAUCUGAGCCCUCAGCAAGUCAUAAUCUUUUUGCUGGUGGGAGGUCUUUACCUCCCUCUUGAUAGCUGCUGACUGAUUCCAGUGGUGGUUGUUGAAGGCUCAGGUAGCUGUGGCAAUUUCUUAAAAUAAAGUAGUUAACUUGCUGGAUCGAUUGACUUUCAUGAAAGAUUUCUCUUUAGCAUGGGAUGCUUUGGGUAUUUUAUCCACAGUAGAACUUCUUUCAAAACAGUCCUCUCAGACCCUGCCACUGGUUUAUCAACCAAGUUUAUACACUGUACUAAAUCUUUUGUUGUUGUUUCAACAGUUUUCACAGCAUCUUCAGGAUGCUGUGAUUCCAUCCAGGAGUAGAUUCUAUCUCAAAAAAGUCACUUUCUUUGCUUAUGUAUAAGAAGCAACUCUUCAUCUGUUUGUUUUAUCUUAAGAGUGUAGCAAUUCCUUAAGGCUCUACUUUUUUUUUUUUUUUUUUUUUUUUUUUUUUUUUUGAGACAGGGUCUUACUCUGUCACCCAGACUGGAAUGCAGUGGUACAAUCAUGGCUCACUGCAGCUUCAAACUUCUGAGCUCAAACGAUCCUCCUGCCACAGCCUCCCCUGUAGCUGGGACUACAGGCUCAUGCCACCAUGCCCAGCUAACUUUUUAAUUUUUCUUUUGUAGAGAGGGAGUCUCACUAUGUUGACCAGGCUGGUUUUGAACUUCUGUCCUCAAGCAAUCCUCCCGCCUUAGCCUUCCAUAGUGCUGGGAUUACAGGCAUGAGCCACCAUGCCCAGCCUCUACUUCUAAUUUUAGUUCUCCUGCUACUUCCACCAUACUUGCGGUGACAUCCUCCACCAAAGUCUUGAACUCCUUAAAGUCAUCCGUGCUGGUUGGAAUCAACUUCUUUUUUAUUCCUGUUAAUGUUGAUAUUUUUACCUCUUCCCAUGAAUCAUCAGUGUUCUUAAUGCCAUCUAGAAUGAUGAAUCCUUUCCAGAAAGUUUUCCAUUCACUUUGCCAAGAUCCAUUAGAGAAUCAGUAUCCAUGGCAGCUAUAAACGUACAAAAUUUAUUUCUGAAAUAAUAAGACUUGCAAGAUGAAAUUACUCCUUGAUCCAUGAACUGCGGAAUGGAUAUUGUGUUAGCAGUCAUGAAAACAUUCAUCUCCUUUUGUAUCUUCACCAGAACUCUUGAGUGACCAGGUGCAUUGUUA